RNAcentral lists this long non-coding RNA (989 nucleotides) under Ricinus communis (castor bean). Its description in RNAcentral is "long non-coding RNA (RCOM_LNC003675)". The record is from RNAcentral. Lineage: Eukaryota; Viridiplantae; Streptophyta; Magnoliopsida; Malpighiales; Euphorbiaceae.
CCAAGCCCAAUUGUAUUAAUGGCGCUCUACACUCUACCCACUCUACCCAUUUAUCAUUACCUCCCACCUUCACCAAUUUAUAAUAUAGUAUUAAAGCAGAUCUGACCUGUUUCUAUUUCCUAGUAAAUCCAGUCUUUCAUUUCCCAAAGGAACACUGUUUCAAGAAGAGUUCAUUUUAAGUGACAACUAGGUAUUCAAGUCCCAGUUGCACUUGAAGGAAAGUGUUAGAGAAUUCCACAUUGCUAAAGAAUCAAACGUAUAAAGAACUUAGUUCAACCAACUAAGUUGCUAAUUCUAGUAAUUUUAGUAAUGGCUAGAUCCAAGCCCAAUUUUAUUAAUAUGCUUUACACUCUACCCAUUUAUCAUCACCUCCCACCUUCAACAAUUUCUAAAAUCCCCAAACCCAACCCUGAUGACAUAUUUAAAGUCUUCAGUUAACAGCGCUAAAAAAGACAGAUAAUGGUGGCAAAAUCCCAGACAGUACUCUCUAGACAACAUUAGCAUGCAUGUACCAAACAAAAAUUACAGAUGAACUUCCAAAGAAUGCUCACUAGACAACAUUAUUCUGCAUGGACCAAACAAGAAUUACAGCAAUGGAUCUCAUUAUGGGAGGCCAUUACAUGUUAUUACAUUGGUAUUAGACUCUUGCACUUUGCAAAAUAAACUUCUACAUUUAAUUUCACAUCCAAAAAGGAAAGCUUAAAUCAUUAUUCACUAGAAAAUGCAUGUCUGGACUCUAAUACUAUAAUUUCAACCUAAGCAUUGAGGUUGACUCUUUUCUUCCUCAAAUUGUAUGUCUUAUUUGUCCAAUCCAUUGCCAUUUGGGAUGAGAUCAAUUCAGAAAUGGUAUCACCAGUGCAAAACCAACAUCACACUACACUCACAACAUUAUUUUCCCACCUUCCUUUCUAGUUCUCUCUAUUUCUGCUCUUCUUUCCUUUGUUACCUUAGGACUCUUCUUCCCCUUACCUUUGGUCCUUGGGCUUUCU